CCCAUAGGUCAUCCUCCGAGUGAUGAGAUAUAUGGUCAUGGUGGUGGCCACCACACUGCACCGGGCCCGAGUGACCCCAUAGAUCCUCCUCCAAGUGAUGAGAUAUAUAACCGUGGUGGUCAUCACACUGCUCCGGGCCCGAGUGACCCCAUAGAUCCCAUAGGCCCUCCUCCAAGUGAUGAGAUAUAUAACCAUGGUGGUCAUCACACUGCUCCGGGCCCGAGUAACCCCAUAGAUCCCAUAGGCCCUCCUCCAAGUGAUGAGAUAUAUAACCGUGGUGGUCAUCACACUGCUCCGGGCCCAAGUAACCCCAUAGAUCCCAUAGGCCCUCCUCCAAGUGAUGAGAUAUAUAACCGUGGUGGUCAUCACACUACUCCGGGCCCGAGUGACCCCAUAGAUCCUAUAGGCCCUCCUCCAAAUGAUGAGAUAUAUAACCGUGGUGGUCAUCACACUGCUCCGGGCCCGAGUAACCCCAUAGAUCCCAUAGGCCCUCCUCCAAGUGAUAUAUAACCGUGGUGGUCAUCAUACUGCUCCAGGCCCAAGUGACCCCAUAGGUCCUCCUCCAAGUGGUGUAAUAUCAUAGUACCUGAUUAGACAUUCCUCAUAUAUUAGAGAUGUACAACACUGUUUUUCAGAUUCGGACUAUUGUAACCGUGCAUCUCCAACUCAUGCCGAAAUAAUAAAGCAUAUCUUCGUUUUCAAUUUUCUCUUGAUGUUCUACUGUUUCCUCCCUAUAAGAGUGAC
Molecule: long non-coding RNA, 744 nt
Filed under: Oryza sativa (Asian cultivated rice)
Lineage: Eukaryota; Viridiplantae; Streptophyta; Magnoliopsida; Poales; Poaceae
Description: long non-coding RNA (OSAT_LNC000986)
Source: RNAcentral